RNAcentral lists this unclassified non-coding RNA (335 nucleotides) under soil metagenome. Its description in RNAcentral is "partial contains 5.8S ribosomal RNA, internal transcribed spacer 2, and large subunit ribosomal RNA". The stretch from base 1 to 120 matches the Rfam family "5.8S ribosomal RNA", at positions 35 to 154 of the family's 154-position model. The record is from RNAcentral.
GAUGAAGAACGUAGCGAAAUGCGAUAAGUAAUGUGAAUUGCAGAAUUCAGUGAAUCAUCGAAUCUUUGAACGCACAUUGCGCCCGCCAGUAUUCUGGCGGGCAUGCCUGUUCGAGCGUCAUUUCAACCAUCAAGCCCCCGGCUUGUGUUGGGGACCUGCGGCUGCCGCAGGCCCUGAAAACCAGUGGCGGGCUCGCUAGUCACUCCGAGCGUAGUAAUACAUCUCGCUCAGGGCGUGCUGCGGGUUCCGGGCGUUAAAAAGCCUUAUUUACCCAAGGUUGACCUCGGAUCAGGUAGGAAGACCCGCUGAACUUAAGCAUAUCAAUAAGCGGAGGA